Molecule: ribosomal RNA, 371 nt
Filed under: uncultured bacterium
Lineage: Bacteria
Description: bacterial SSU rRNA
Rfam family: Bacterial small subunit ribosomal RNA
Source: RNAcentral
GUAGGUGGCGAGCGUUGUCCGGAUUUACUGGGCGUAAAGAGCGCGCAGGCGGCUGGUCAAGUCCGAUGUGAAAGCUCCCGGCUUAACUGGGAAAUUGCAUCGGAAACUGAUCGGCUGGAAGGUGGGAGAGGGUAGCGGAAUUCCCGGUGUAGUGGUGAAAUGCGUAGAUAUCGGGAGGAACACCAGUGGCGAAGGCGGCUACCUGGCCCAUUCUUGACGCUGAGGCGCGAAAGCUAGGGGAGCAAACGGGAUUAGAUACCCCGGUAGUCCUAGCCGUAAACGAUGAACACUAGGCGUAGUCGGUAUCGACCCCGGCUGUGCCGUAGCUAACGCAUUAAGUGUUCCGCCUGGGGAGUACGGCCGCAAGGCUA